Molecule: ribosomal RNA, 253 nt
Filed under: uncultured bacterium
Lineage: Bacteria
Description: partial 16S ribosomal RNA
Rfam family: Bacterial small subunit ribosomal RNA
Source: RNAcentral
UACGAAGGGUGCAAGCGUUACUCGGAAUUACUGGGCGUAAAGCGUGCGUAGGUGGUUUGUUAAGUCUGUUGUGAAAGCCCCGGGCUCAACCUGGGAAUGGCAUUGGAAACUGGCGACCUAGAGUGCGGUAGAGGGUAGUGGAAUUCCCGGUGUAGCAGUGAAAUGCGUAGAGAUCGGGAGGAACAUCCGUGGCGAAGGCAACUACCUGGACCAGCACUGACACUGAGGCACGAAAGCGUGGGGAGCAAACAGG